Molecule: transfer RNA, 84 nt
Filed under: Acidobacterium sp.
Lineage: Bacteria; Pseudomonadati; Acidobacteriota; Terriglobia; Terriglobales; Acidobacteriaceae
Also listed under: 1 other name
Description: tRNA-Leu
Rfam family: tRNA
About the family: Transfer RNA (tRNA) molecules are approximately 80 nucleotides in length. Their secondary structure includes four short double-helical elements and three loops (D, anti-codon, and T loops). Further hydrogen bonds mediate the characteristic L-shaped molecular structure. tRNAs have two regions of fundamental functional importance: the anti-codon, which is responsible for specific mRNA codon recognition, and the 3' end, to which the tRNAs corresponding amino acid is attached (by aminoacyl-tRNA synthetases). tRNAs cope with the degeneracy of the genetic code in two manners: having more than one tRNA (with a specific anti-codon) for a particular amino acid; and 'wobble' base-pairing, i.e. permitting non-standard base-pairing at the 3rd anti-codon position.
Source: RNAcentral
GCGAAAGUGGCGGAAUUGGCAGACGCGCCGGCCUUAGGAGCCGGUGGCCGAAAGGCUGUAAGGGUUCGAGUCCCUUCUUUCGCA